GAGAAAGCGGGCUUCGGCCCGUGAGUACAGCGGCGAACGGGUGAGGAACACGUGGGUAACCUGCCUGGGAGUGGGGGAUAACCUGGGGAAACCCGGGCUAAUACCGCAUACGUCCUUGGGGCCUUGGUCCUGAGGGGAAAGCUUGCCUCUGCGUGCAAGCUGGCGCUCCCAGAGGGGCCCGCGUCCGAUUAGCUUGUUGGUGAGGUAACGGCUCACCAAGGCGACAAUCGGUAGCCGGCCUGAGAGGGUGAUCGGCCACACUGGGACUGAGAUACGGCCCAGACUCCUACGGGAGGCAGCAGUGGGGAAUAUUGGACAAUGGGCGCAAGCCUGAUCCAGCAACGCCGCGUGGAGGAAGAAGGCCUUCGGGUCGUAAACUCCUGUCAGUUGGGACGAAAAGCCAUCGGAAAAUACCCGGUGGUCAUGACGGUACCAGCAGAGGAAGCCCCGGCUAACUCCGUGCCAGCAGCCGCGGUAAUACGGAGGGGGCUAGCGUUAUUCGGAAUUAUUGGGCGUAAAGGGCGCGUAGGCGGCUUGGUAGGUCAAAGGUGAAAUCCCUCGGCUCAACCGAGGAACUGCCUUUGAAACCGCCUCGCUUGAGGCUGGGAGAGGGCAGCGGAAUUCCCGGAGUAGCGGUGAAAUGCGUAGAUAUCGGGAGGAACACCAGUGGCGAAGGCGGCUGCCUGGACCAGUUCUGACGCUGAUGUGCGAAAGCGUGGGGAGCAAACAGGAUUAGAUACCCU
RNAcentral lists this ribosomal RNA (743 nucleotides) under uncultured bacterium. RNAcentral's name for it is "bacterial SSU rRNA". It matches the Rfam family "Bacterial small subunit ribosomal RNA", at positions 68 to 788 of the family's 1533-position model. The record is from RNAcentral.